GGACUACUAGGGUUUCUAAUCCUGUUUGCUACCCACGCUUUCGUAGUUGAGUGUCAAUACUUGUCCAGGUCGCCGCCUUCGCCUCUGGUGUUCCUCCCGAUCUCUACGCAUUUCACCGCUACACCGGGAAUUCCACGACCCUCUCCAAGAUUCUAGUCUGACCGUUUCUAAGGCACUUCUUGAGUUAAGCUCAAGGCUUUCACCCCAGACAAAUCAGACCACCUACCUACCCUUUACGCCCAAUAAUUCCGAGCAACGCUUGCACCCCUCGUAUUACCGCGGCUGCUGGCAC
This 292-nucleotide ribosomal RNA is filed under the name uncultured bacterium. Its description in RNAcentral is "partial 16S ribosomal RNA". The record is from RNAcentral.